ACGACUAUACUUGAACAGGAUCUGUUCUAUAGUACGUACAUCUUGAUCUGUGAUCUCUAUCAUAGACAAGUCCCUUAACCCGGACGAUGAGCAGUGGCUUGAAUGCCAGUGCGCGAAUACUGCUGGCCGUGCCGGGCGAGAGCCUGCGCUCGGUGAGCUUGAUGAACGUCCUGCCGCGCUCAUUCCGCCGGCGGUGAAGGCAUUCAAGCGUUCUGACGGGUA
Marchantia polymorpha subsp. polymorpha is the source of this 222-nucleotide small nucleolar RNA. It matches the Rfam family "Plant small nucleolar RNA U3". From Rfam's summary of the family: Small nucleolar RNAs (snoRNAs) are involved in the processing and modification of rRNA in the nucleolus. NCBI's taxonomy places the organism in Eukaryota, Viridiplantae, Streptophyta, Marchantiopsida, Marchantiales, Marchantiaceae. The record is from Rfam.